Bos taurus (domestic cattle) is the source of this 718-nucleotide long non-coding RNA. NCBI's taxonomy places the organism in Eukaryota, Metazoa, Chordata, Mammalia, Artiodactyla, Bovidae. The record is from Ensembl.
UGUACGCUCACCUCGUGCUGCUUGACUGCUGUAAAGGAUAGACGUACCCCAAGGAAGAUAGGGCUGUGACCUACCUGGAGGUGGUGAGAGCCAGCAGCAGGUCGCAAUCAGCACUUUCUUCAUGGAAUGGAGCACACAGCACAUGGGAAGGGCCUGGUUCCAGAUACAGUCAUAUUCUAAGAUGCUGGGGCACCUAGUGGUAAAGACCAUGGAGAAGGCUGAGCGCCAAAGAACCGCGGUGCUGGACGAGACUCCUGAGAGCCCCUUGGGCUGCAAGAAGAUCCAACCAGUCCAUCCUAAAGAUCAGUCCUGGGUGUUCAUUGGAAGGACUGAUGCUGAAGCUGAAACUCCAAUACUUUGGCCACCUCGUGUGAAGAGCUGACUCAUUGGAAACGACCCUGAUGCUGGGAAAGAUUGAGGGCAGGAGGAGAAGGGACGACAGAGGAUGAGAUGGUUGGAUGGCAUCAUCGACUCGAUGGACAUGGGCUUGGGUGAACUCCGGGAGUUGGUGAUGGACAGGGAGGCCUGGUGUGCUGCAGUCUACUGGGUCUCGCAUAUCCCCUAGAGAAGGAUAUGGCAACCCACUCCAGUGUUUCUCGCCUGUAAAAUCCCGCGGAAAGAGGAGCCUGGCAGGCUACAGUCCACUGGGUCACACCUGAGUGACUGGGCACACACAGGACAUCAGUGACCUUUUUCUUAAAGACAUUUUUAUGUGGAC